AAAGGAAAGUGUAUCCUAAAAG
RNAcentral lists this microRNA (22 nucleotides) under Pongo abelii (Sumatran orangutan). Its description in RNAcentral is "Pab-Mir-651_3p* (star (passenger))". The record is from RNAcentral. RNAcentral also lists the same sequence under 1 other name. Lineage: Eukaryota; Metazoa; Chordata; Mammalia; Primates; Hominidae.